CGAAUGGGAACGCCGCUUCUAUGGAGUAACCUCUAUGGCCAGGGGCCGCACCACGUGAUGUUGUUAUCUAAACAUUCCUCAACAAUCCGACGGUCCCGCUGAUUUCACCCCCGAUGCCACUCAGCUGUGCAGACUUGCUGUGGCUACGUGAAAAACACGCGCUCGGGUCCACCCACAGAACCACGCAGGUCCAGAAGCCCGUUUAUUUCCCAGGUUCUUCUUACCAUCCAGGGUUGAGGCGCGAGAGUAUUACUACAGUUUCAUUACAGUAUUACUAAAGGAAAGGCGCCCGUAAGAACAUUGUACUUUUGUUUUUAUUCUGCUUGCAUAGUGCAUUAUCCCAGGAACAAUCGUGUUUAAUAAAAGCCCGUUUAGUUUUUGUAUCGAUUAUCAUACGACCAUUAACCAUCAAGUAUACGUUUAAAAGCACAAAUCCAGUAGGUGAAAGGCAGCUCAGCUCCUUUUUUUAUUCGUCCCCUGAUAACGUUGCUUCACCACAAGGUGGCGAUGUUGUCAACACUAACAUUCUAACGGAGUUUUGUUGUUUUUCUCAGACGGAUUUGAUACAUUGAAAUGAUGAGUGAAAAACAAAACACAGGAAAAAUAAACACAGGUAGUGUUUUUUCUGUUAAAAAACUGUAGCCCUUUUUAUUUGGAAACGUACAUACAGUCAAACUGAUGAGAACUCAUGCUACACGCAGUUGCUUUCUUGUGUACCUCUGCUACAUAUUUCUUUUUUUUUUACUAGGAAAAAAAAAGCUAACACAGCCAUCUGCCCUGAUUGAGCAGAUCAACACUACAUCUUGGAGAGAAACAUGAGCUUGUGUUCACACAUGCCAGUAGAAUCUAUGACAUUCAUUCCACUCAGCUGGUCGUUACAGCGCCAGAAAACCAUGUAUUACAAAAAUGAAACACGAUAUCACAUUUUCACAUCAGUGCAAUUAAACCCUGACCUGUUGGCUCUACCAACAAAAGCAUGCAAGUCAAUGAGUCGGAAUCACUUCUAUGUACAAAAGGCCUGCUUACUUCCAGUGCAGCCAUAUUCACAAAGUAGCUAGCGAGGCCUAAUCAGAUGAGAAAGCAACCGUUUACCUCACAACAUGAGCGAUUAGAUACUGUCCUGAUACUGGUACGAAAGCUGUGCUGUGCUCCCUGUGUGUCUGGGACACACACACACACACACACACACGCGUAGAAGUCACCGGGAUCCCAUUUCUUAUUUGUGUAGGAUCUGAGCUCAAGUGGAUUACAUCUGCUGUAUGUGAGGCAUUUUAAUAUAAUACGGUAGUACAAAUAUUCUGUCAGGACAUCCUGGUGGGAUUUUAUUGCUCCUCCAUAAUCCAAACAUUAAACAUCUGCCUCUUA
This is a long non-coding RNA of Betta splendens (Siamese fighting fish), 1365 nucleotides long. RefSeq lists it as uncharacterized. The transcript has 2 exons. NCBI's taxonomy places the organism in Eukaryota, Metazoa, Chordata, Actinopteri, Anabantiformes, Osphronemidae. The record is from RefSeq and is a predicted model, not a curated record.